RNAcentral lists this long non-coding RNA (422 nucleotides) under Elaeis guineensis (African oil palm). RNAcentral's name for it is "long non-coding RNA (EGUI_LNC032558)". The record is from RNAcentral. Lineage: Eukaryota; Viridiplantae; Streptophyta; Magnoliopsida; Arecales; Arecaceae.
UUUAUCUAGAAUCUUUAGAAGUUCAGAAGAAUUUUGGAAGAUAAUCCUAGUUAUUUCUAUGAGCAUAAACUGUGAUAAAAAGGAUUGGCUUCUUAUUCAACUUUCAAGCAUAAAUUUUAGAUGGUAGAGGCGAUCUGGCGGUAGCAUAGACGGAAUGGGUCUUGCACUUCCAUGCAAAUGAUCGGGAUUUGAAACGUGUGGACGUCGAUUAAAUACGGGACCGAAUGCCCAAUGCCCUGCUUGGGUGUGCGCAGAGCAGUUUCUGAUCCACCUGGAUGCCCCUCUUGCCCCUGUGGUGGGGAGCUGCCCCCUUCUGAUGCAUCGAACAUUCCUGAUGGAGGAGUCCCUUAUGGUAACGCCCAAUUACCCAAAGGCCAUGUUGGCAACUCCUUACAAAACUUGCUUAAAUCUUCCACAUUGCC